RNAcentral lists this ribosomal RNA (253 nucleotides) under uncultured bacterium. Its description in RNAcentral is "partial 16S ribosomal RNA". It matches the Rfam family "Bacterial small subunit ribosomal RNA", at positions 524 to 776 of the family's 1533-position model. The record is from RNAcentral.
UACGGGGGGAGCAAGCGUUGUUCGGAUUUACUGGGCGUAAAGGGCUCGUAGGCGGCCAACUAAGUCAGACGUGAAAUCCCUCGGCUUAACCGGGGAACUGCGUCUGAUACUGGAUGGCUAGAGGUUGGGAGAGGGAUGCGGAAUUCCAGGUGUAGCGGUGAAAUGCGUAGAUAUCUGGAGGAACACCGGUGGCGAAGGCGGCAUCCUGGACCAAUUCUGACGCUGAGGAGCGAAAGCCAGGGGAGCAAACGGG